This 436-nucleotide RNase P RNA is filed under the name Leptolyngbya sp. FACHB-36. RNAcentral's name for it is "Bacterial RNase P class A". It matches the Rfam family "Bacterial RNase P class A". Rfam says of the family: Ribonuclease P (RNase P) is a ubiquitous endoribonuclease, found in archaea, bacteria and eukarya as well as chloroplasts and mitochondria. Its best characterised activity is the generation of mature 5'-ends of tRNAs by cleaving the 5'-leader elements of precursor-tRNAs. Cellular RNase Ps are ribonucleoproteins. Lineage: Bacteria; Bacillati; Cyanobacteriota; Cyanophyceae; Leptolyngbyales; Leptolyngbyaceae. The record is from Rfam by way of RNAcentral.
UGAGUAGGCGCAGGUGGCUGCGGAUGGUCUAAAAACCGUCUGAGGAAAGUCCGGGCUUCCGAAAGACCAAACUUGCUGGACAACGCCCAGUGCGAGCGAUCGUGAGGAUAGUGCCACAGAAACAUACCGCCAAUAAUUCGGAAUUCGGAGUUCGUAAUUUCGAAUUUCGAAUUUCGAAUUCCGAAUUAUUGGUAAGGGUGCAAAGGUGCGGUAAGAGCGCACCAGCAACAUCGAGAGGUGUUGGCUCGGUAAACCCCGGUUGGAAGCAAGGCAGUAGAAACGACGGUUGGUCUUUUACCGGUUUCGGCAGGGGUCAGAAAACCUGACUUCAGCGAGUCCGCUAGAGGCGCUUGGUAACAAGCGUCCCAGAUAGAUAGCCGCCGCUUGAUCGCGCUGCGAUCGGGUAACAGAACCCGGCUUAUGUCUUACUCUUCCC